Molecule: unclassified non-coding RNA, 358 nt
Filed under: soil metagenome
Description: partial contains 5.8S ribosomal RNA, internal transcribed spacer 2, and large subunit ribosomal RNA
Rfam family: 5.8S ribosomal RNA (bases 1-120)
Source: RNAcentral
GAUGAAGAACGCAGCGAAAUGCGAUAAGUAAUGUGAAUUGCAGAAUUCAGUGAAUCAUCGAAUCUUUGAACGCACAUUGCGCCCGUCAGUAUUCUGGCGGGCAUGCCUGUUCGAGCGUCAUUACGCCCCUCAAGUCCCCUGUGGACUUGGUGUUGGGGAUCGGCGAGGCUGGUUUUCCAGCACAGCCGUCCCUUAAAUUAAUUGGCGGUCUCGCCGUGUCCCUCCUCUGCGCAGUAGUAAAACACUCGCAACAGGAGCCCGGCGCGGUCCACUGCCGUAAAACCCCCCAACUUUUUAUAGUUGACCUCGAAUCAGGUAGGACUACCCGCUGAACUUAAGCAUAUCAAUAAGCGGAGGA